Xenopus laevis (African clawed frog) is the source of this 1132-nucleotide long non-coding RNA. RefSeq lists it as uncharacterized. The record is from RefSeq and is a predicted model, not a curated record. Lineage: Eukaryota; Metazoa; Chordata; Amphibia; Anura; Pipidae. The transcript is spliced from 3 exons.
AUGUGACACGGGGGGGGGAAGUAUAUUUGUAUAUUUUGCUCCUUGAGCCAAACACUGGGACAGAACAAAAGCUGAACAUGUGUGUGAGGGGGUGUGAGAUGAUUGUCAUGUAAGUACAGGAGCUUCCAUUGUAGCUGGGCCUGUGAGAAGACAAAUUGUGGGGGACAUUUGUGAGGCUUGGGAGGAUAUGGCUGGUACAAUUGUAUAAUCUGUAUACUAUAUACACACACUCUUGUACUGAAGCCAUGAUCUGAUUUUGUCAUUCCAACUACAGCUCACACAAAGGAACAGCACUGAGAAGUGACCCCAAUGCAGACAAUGGCGGCACCGGAAGGGGCGGGGCAUGAGAAGAUUACCUCAGACUGAACCGGAUGUUGGGGAGAAAUGGCUUCCCUGCCUCAGCCCCUCACUCCUAAGCUGUGUGGGACAAGUAAUGGUGAGGGGAAACAUAAAUGUGUCAACUUGUGAGCUAUAAAAGGGGCCGUUCCUUUGUGUAGGGAGGGGGUGAAACAGGCGCAGCAGGUCGGUAAGUGCAGUAGAAACUGCUGGAGAUUUGCCCACAGUCAGCGAUAGAGAAUGGACCCUGGAGCCACACCCGCUGCAAGCUCCUCCCACACUCACUGAGCCUUAGCGCUUAAAUGCAGCUUUUUUUAUACAAAAUAUGAGCUAAUCAACAGUGUUUGGGGUUUUGUAGUGCAACCGCGCCGCUAAUACUGACGUGUAGAGAAAAGAACUACAUUUCCCAGAGUGCAGCAGCAGCAGCGGCGCAAGAGAAAGGAAGUGUCACGUGGCACGUCAGAUCCAAUCCAAUGGAAGCUUGCUCCCUGAGGGAGGAUAGAAGACGGAGCUUCUCACACAGCGGUGUCUCGGGUGUUAGCGAGGAACUAGUUACGGUUUGUGCGGGGCUGUGUGUAGCUCAAGGUCACUUCCAGCUCAGUCUCCCCACGAGGAGCCAAUGGGAAUGUGGGAGGAAGCGAGUGACACAGGGAUGAAGGGAAAGGAGAAUAAAAACGAGCGGAACAAGAGAAUCGUGAACCUCACACUGGAGAUGAUCUAUCUGCUGACUGGAGAGCACUACAUCCCUAGGAAGAAGUCAGAUGAUGGGGGGGCCCUGCAUGCCCCUGGCUCCGUC